CGAAGCGGUUCUUUCUGCCUGUUACAAACUUUUAAACAAAUCUAGUAUACAUUUUUCAAAAGUGCAAAAGUGUCAGAUUUAGACUUGAGGGCGUUGGAGUGUGCGUACUGAUAGAAACUGACAAGAAAAAUAAUUAAAAGGAAAAAAAAUUACCAAUUGUGGGCGUGGUCGUUUUGGGCGAUGCAAACCGCGUGGCAACAUCUUCUACUCUACGAGUAACAGAAGUAAAAUCUGAAAAUAUCCCUUUACCUGUCCCACAACUAUGUAGUAAAAUGACAGAACGUUUCGCUAUUUAAUUGCAAGUUUAUAAACCGUUAAUUUGUUGCCUUCAUGAUGGACUCCUAUAUUGGUAAUUGCGCUGUACCGGAACCGGAAUUUAAUGUCAAAUAAUCUUGCCAGGCCCGACAAUCAAAUUAAUUUUUCAUGCCCCAGUUUACCACUGGCCCAGCAACCCUCUUGGCCAAAAUCCAGAAGGACUGACUUCCAGGGCAUCGAAGCUGAUUAGCAUAAGUUCGUCUAUGUCGUCGCUGGCAACGUUGUCGUCUUUUGUCAACGUGUCUGGCAUGCCAAGCUGGGAAACUUGCAGCUUUCCACAAAGUAAGGGAAACUCAAACAAUCUAGAAAAGGAACAGGAAAAGAAAAGAAAAGAAAAGAAAAG
Drosophila yakuba is the source of this 658-nucleotide long non-coding RNA. RefSeq lists it as uncharacterized. NCBI's taxonomy places the organism in Eukaryota, Metazoa, Arthropoda, Insecta, Diptera, Drosophilidae. The transcript has 2 exons. The record is from RefSeq and is a predicted model, not a curated record.